GAUAACGGUGGGAACGCUUGCACGAACCGUGUCCAAACAGGAGAGUGCUUAAUGCUUAGAUACGACACAUGUCAUAUCGACAGAGCGAGUACAGCCCAUUCUAUACUCGCAGUAGUCUUUUACACCCCCCGGGCUUCUUUGUUUCUUUUCUCUUCGUCGUCAUUUUAUCAAAAAUCUUUUUUGGAGCCAAGUUUUCGGAUUUUCUUCAAAUUGGAAAUCUCCAGUAAAUAAACACACCAAAAUUCAAACUCUUCCAAAUCCCACAAUCAAAUCUUCCGAAUUAAGAAAAUCCCACUCCCAAUUUCGUAACGCUAUUCUGUAAACGCCAUUCUAGCGUUGAAUUUUCAUGGUUUGUUCUUCUAUUUUCCUAUAAAAAUCUGCUGUAAGCUUAAGUUUUCAUCAAUGGUGGAUUUCUUGAGGUUCAUUGUGUUUUCGACUUCAUAAUACGCACGUUAAUAUUCAAUAUGAGUNNNNN
Molecule: long non-coding RNA, 475 nt
Filed under: Carica papaya (papaya)
Lineage: Eukaryota; Viridiplantae; Streptophyta; Magnoliopsida; Brassicales; Caricaceae
Description: long non-coding RNA (CPAP_LNC000696)
Source: RNAcentral